This 93-nucleotide ribosomal RNA is filed under the name Salicornia obscura. Its description in RNAcentral is "partial 5.8S ribosomal RNA". The record is from RNAcentral. Lineage: Eukaryota; Viridiplantae; Streptophyta; Magnoliopsida; Caryophyllales; Amaranthaceae.
CCAUCGAGUCUUUGAACGCAAGUUGCGCCCGAAGCCUUCGGGCCGAGGGCACGUCUGCCUGGGCGUCACGCAUCGCGUCUUCCCCUAACCCCC